This 433-nucleotide ribosomal RNA is filed under the name uncultured bacterium. RNAcentral's name for it is "partial 16S ribosomal RNA". It matches the Rfam family "Bacterial small subunit ribosomal RNA", at positions 29 to 507 of the family's 1533-position model. The record is from RNAcentral.
AACGAACGCUGGCGGCAUGCCUAACACAUGCAAGUCGAACGAGACCUUCGGGUCUAGUGGCGCACGGGUGCGUAACGCGUGGGAACCUGCCCUUAGGUUCGGAAUAACUCCCCGAAAGGGGUGCUAAUACCGGAUAAUGUCUUCGGCCCAAAGGUUUAUCGCCUUUGGAUGGGCCCGCGUUGGAGUAGCUAGUUGGUAGGGUAAAAGCCUACCAAGGCGACGAUCCAUAGCUGGUCUGAGAGGAUGAUCAGCCACACUGGGACUGGGACACGGCCCAGACUCCUACGGGAGGCAGCAGUGGGGAAUAUUGGACAAUGGGCGAAAGCCUGAUCCAGCAAUGCCGCGUGAGUGAUGAAGGCCUUAGGGUUGUAAAGCUCUUUUACCCGGGAUGAUAAUGACAGUACCGGGAGAAUAAGCACCGGCUAACUCCGUG